GUUGUCAAUUCAGAGAUCUGGAAUUGAAUCCAUUCUUCAUUAGGGUUUGGGAUGGUAAUAGAGUUACCUUCUUUGGCAGAAACCAGGUAUUGGAGGCGAGGUAGUGCCACAUCAGGAUAACUCAUUUCUUUAUACCGAACCACAAACUUGCACAGGUUAAUUUGUAGCUGGCCUUGGAAGACGCAACUAUAGUAAAUGGCUGCCUAUGGGCUAUUCCUAGAUCUCAAAAGAAUGGCCUUGUUAGACGGUUUAUUAGAGGUGAAGAUGGUGUGACCUUUGAUCGGCCUUCCUCUGCGUAUGAUCCAAAAGAUUUUGUGCCUAUUGAAGUCAAAGCUGGGUCUUUAAUUGUUAUUCAUGGUGAUCUUAUUCAUCAAAGGUCAGUUACAUUGUUUCUGUUGUUUCCGAAAUGGAAGAGACAUGUGAUUUGUCUCCUUUGCUGGAUGGUCUGAAAGGACUCUAGCUAUUUGCCUUUUUCCUGUCAAAUCAUUGGAUUACAGUUCGGAGAGCCAGUCUUUGAAGUCAAGGCAUGCGUAUAGCUUGCAUGUGGUGGGUACAGAUGGCUGCAAAUGGGCUCCAGAUAAUUGGUAAAUUUUACAUCGAUAAUUUCUAAGCUUUACAUUUUGUUUUCGGAGUGACUUGUACAGUAUACAUUUUCUGGUUUCUCUAGCUUUGAAGUAUGAAUCCCAACUAUGAACUUUUGUGAAUCAAACAAAUUGCCGAGUGUACCAGUAUCUAAUGUGUUAAGAAUAAGUGAAGGGUAGUUAUUGUGAGGAAGCAUUUUUAUCUGUUUGUAAUUAUCUUCUCUUGGAUGUUUGAAGUUCAUGUGUUUGAAUUUGUGGUGUUGGUUGACCAACCCUCUAACCUUUCAGAAACUAUCAUACAAGUAUGGAAAAACGUUCCAACUAAGAGAUAAUGGUAGGAGAAAAAUGCUACCUGUGCAGGACAAAAUUAUGUAGUACAGAAGAUGGUUUAUUUUUCACUUUUAUGUUUUGUUGGCUAUCUGCGCUCUUUUUAUUGUAGGGAUUUAUGACAUUGAGCUCUAUGACUUUUGUCCGACUUAGAGGCCCUAGCUCAGAAAUUGCACUGAUUGAACUUCUCUGGUUCUGUGAGAGAAGAUUUCUAGAGAGAGAGGGUCCUCCUUCUCUCUAGAAAUCUUCUCUAGAUCUGUCAUUAUUUUGAAAGUCCACCACCACUCCCACCCCACCCGCCACCACCUCUACCACUGCCCCCAUCACCUUCACCUUCGUCUCCACCUUCACCCAACCUCUUUUCUCGACCAGAUCGAUCUGCUCACUUCAUCAUUUACCACCUUCCUCUCUUUCCUCACCGGAUAUUUCCAGUGAUGGAAAACUCCAUGUUCACCACCAUCUUCACCUCCUCUCCAUCCCACGUUUUCUCCUUCUCCACAGACCAAAUCUCCUCUCGAGUCACCAAAUUUUUCUCUCUAAGUUCUACCCCUAAAUCUGUUCAUGCUUUCUUUGGACGGGAUUGACUAUGGUUGCUUCCAGAUCUGCUUACUUCUCCACCACAUCUAGGCAAGAUUUCUCCCGUUGGUGGAUUUUUGUCCACUUUAAAAAGGUUGUCCAGAUUGCUUCGGCAAUCACACCCACUACCGUUACUUUGUUUCUAUUGGGCGUUCUUGAGCCCUGUGUGUGUUCCAACAGGUGGAGGAGGUGGCAUGAUUUGUUUCUACGGCGGUGGCUUCUGUUCAUGGAACAGCAUGAAUGCGGCGGGGGUAUUUCUUUGCGGCAGCAGAUUCGGUGGUUGUUUGAUAGGAUUAGGGUUUGUAAUUUUUCUUUGGGCUUUUGGCUGUUAGCUGGGUUUGACCCAUUGUGGGUUUUAUUUUAUGUUUAAUGGGCCUAUGUGCCUCAUUUGCUGGGCCUAUGUGCCUCUUUAUCUGGGCCUAUGUGCCUCUUUUGCUGGAGUCUUCUGGGGUCUUAUGUACCUCUUGUAUUUUGCUUGAUCCUUUGGAUCUUCUAAUACAAUCAUUGACCAAAAAAAAAAAAGAGGCCCUAGCUCAAAUUUGUAUGUUUCUUGUAGCUGUUAACUGAUUUAUCCUAAAGCCUAUGGUUUUAUCUUGAA
Long non-coding RNA from Rosa chinensis, 2082 nucleotides. RefSeq lists it as uncharacterized. The transcript has 2 exons. The record is from RefSeq and is a predicted model, not a curated record. Lineage: Eukaryota; Viridiplantae; Streptophyta; Magnoliopsida; Rosales; Rosaceae.